This 73-nucleotide transfer RNA is filed under the name Saccharomyces cerevisiae P283. RNAcentral describes it as "tRNA-Lys". The record is from RNAcentral. Lineage: Eukaryota; Fungi; Ascomycota; Saccharomycetes; Saccharomycetales; Saccharomycetaceae. RNAcentral also lists the same sequence under 1 other name.
AAAAUGAUGUUCUAAAAUCGGCAUUCUCGCUAUUUGAGAUUUUGUCAUUUUUUACCUGGUAUUUCGCGUUUAU